GGAGAGAUGGGUGAGCGGCUUAAACCAGCAGUUUGCUAAAUUGCCGAAGGAAGUAAUUCCUUCCGUGGGUUCGAAUCCCACUCUCUCCGCCA
Molecule: transfer RNA, 92 nt
Filed under: Alphaproteobacteria bacterium
Lineage: Bacteria; Pseudomonadati; Pseudomonadota; Alphaproteobacteria
Also listed under: 1 other name
Description: tRNA-Ser
Rfam family: tRNA
About the family: Transfer RNA (tRNA) molecules are approximately 80 nucleotides in length.
Source: RNAcentral